CAUGGUAAGACCUAGCAAAUCGCCAUUAGUUAGCCUUGGAGUCGAAGUCGUGAGACAAGAUAAGCGUAGGUAAACAAGAAUACGAGCCGUAAUACGAAAGUGUGAAGCGAUUCAGCCUCGUUAAAUAUAAAUAGUGGUAGUCGAUGUGUUUCUUUCCACAGCAGACAACAAUGGCAGUAUCGUUAAGCGAGAUAUUGUGAGAGUGCCACCGGGGUCUA
This 218-nucleotide non-coding RNA is filed under the name chicken gut metagenome. The record is from RNAcentral.